This 460-nucleotide ribosomal RNA is filed under the name uncultured bacterium. RNAcentral describes it as "partial 16S ribosomal RNA". It matches the Rfam family "Bacterial small subunit ribosomal RNA", at positions 338 to 795 of the family's 1533-position model. The record is from RNAcentral.
CCUACGGGUGGCAGCAGUGAGGAAUAUUGGUCAAUGGACGAGAGUCUGAACCCGUCAAGUAGCGUGAAGGCUGACUGCCCUAUGGGUUGUAAACUUCUUUUAUAUGGGAAUAAAAUGUUCCACGUGUGGGAUUUUGAAUGUACCAUAUGAAUAAGGAUCGGCGAACUCCGUGCCAGCAGCCGCGGUAAUACGGAGGAUCCGAGCGUUAUCCGGAUUUUUUGGGUUUAAAGGGAGAGUAGGUGGAUUGUUAAGGCAGUUGUGAAAGUUUGCGUCUCAACCCUAAAAUUGCAGUUGAAACUAGCAGUCUUGAGUACAGUAGAGGAGAGUGGAAUUCGUGGUGUAGCGGUGAAAUGCGUAGAUAUCGCGAAGAACUCCGAUUGCGAAGGCAGCUCACUGGACUGCAACUGACACUGAGGCUCGAAAGUGUGGGGAUCAAACAGGAUUAGAGACCCCAGUAGUC